CACACGACUCUCGGCAACGGAUAUCUCGGCUCUCGCAUCGAUGAAGAACGUAGCGAAAUGCGAUACCUGGUGUGAAUUGCAGAAUCCCGCGAACCAUCGAGUCUUUGAACGCAAGUUGCGCCCGAGGCCACUCGGCCGAGUGCACGCCUGCCUGGGCGUCACGC
RNAcentral lists this ribosomal RNA (164 nucleotides) under Triticum timopheevii subsp. araraticum. Its description in RNAcentral is "5.8S ribosomal RNA". It matches the Rfam family "5.8S ribosomal RNA". Rfam says of the family: 5.8S ribosomal RNA (5.8S rRNA) is a component of the large subunit of the eukaryotic ribosome. It is transcribed by RNA polymerase I as part of the 45S precursor that also contains 18S and 28S rRNA. The record is from RNAcentral. Lineage: Eukaryota; Viridiplantae; Streptophyta; Magnoliopsida; Poales; Poaceae.